This 72-nucleotide transfer RNA is filed under the name Candidatus Uhrbacteria bacterium. RNAcentral describes it as "tRNA-Glu". It matches the Rfam family "tRNA". From Rfam's summary of the family: Transfer RNA (tRNA) molecules are approximately 80 nucleotides in length. Their secondary structure includes four short double-helical elements and three loops (D, anti-codon, and T loops). The record is from RNAcentral. Lineage: Bacteria; Candidatus Uhriibacteriota.
GGCCCCGUCGUCUAAUGGCCAGGACACCACCCCUUCAAGGUGAGAAUACGGGUUCGAUUCCCGUCGGGGCUA